GUAUCCGCCGUGCCCACGAGUCCCCCGGGGGACCUUCAGUACAGGGCAUCCGUGGCUGAUGGCGGUCACCACGUUGACUACUUUCUUGGAGGGCUGAAGGUUUCUGUAGACCUUAGCAAUCCAGCUAGGAGGUUGAAGUUUUUGAAUUCUCCAGGCAGCAACCGCUGUGGGCAAUCCAUAAUUUUCUUAAGACUCACUGUACUAGGGGCCGGGAGAAAUAAUUGCUCAGCCGUUAGUUGCUGCUCUUGCAGAGGACCCAGGUUCGGUUCCCAGCACCCACAUACAGAGAAACCAACACCCUUUUCUGACCCCCUAGGCACUAGGUAUGUACUUGAUGCACAUAAAUACAUGAAGGCAAAACACAUACCCGUGGAAUCAAAACAAAUUUAAAACGUAAAGCCGGGCGGUGGCGGGGCACGCCUUUAAUCCCAGCACUCGCGAGGCAGAGGCAGGCUGAUCUCUGAGUUCCAGGACAGUCAACGCUGUUACACAUUGAAACUCUGAUAAAUUAAAAUAUAUUUUGUACAAGAUUAGAUACAAAUCCACAUUUUGGAUUUUGGUUAUACGUUUUUUUUCCUUAAAUAUGAAAACUCAUAAAUUUAACUUGAGUGUUAUAAUUACACUUCACACUAAAAUGAUCUUUUUCAGUUGAAAAAAAAUGCAAAGACCAUCACAAACGUUUCCUUCCAUUAAAAAGUGAGAGGCAUAAUGCAAGCAUAUUGUAUAAGUGAGGGAGUGAUCCGUAACAUUGCCUUUAGGGUACUGCCCACAUACAUAAUGUCCUAACACAGCAGGUGCUACUGCACUCCAUUGUUUCUCUUCAUUCAGCCCUGGGGCCUAAUGUUUGCAGUUACUGGACAGGUACUGGAACCUGGCAGAGACAGUCGGGGUUAGAGCCCACCUCUGUCACUUUCUGCUUCUAACUCCUUGGGUAAGUCCCUUCACUUCUCAACCUCCCUUCACUGUAAGGAUAGCAAUACCUCCCAGAGUACGGAUUUAAACAAAGCAGUUCAUAUAGGGCCACGUGUUACAGUAUUGCAGUCUCUAUCUCUUAAGGCUCACAUGGGGUUUCAGUCAAGGAGAAGGCAGAUUAUUUUUCCACGAAGUAGUAAAUUGCAAUAACUUUCUAAGUAUCCAUCAUUCCAUUAAUCUUUUGCUAUCAUUAAAUUUCACCAAGAAUUUCACUGUCAAUCUGACAGUCCCUGGUCUGGUAGGUUCCUGCAAAUCCUUUUCCUCAUUUCAACACCUUUCAAGAGUUCUUCAUGGCCAAAACAUAAUAGAAGGUACAGAAGGAACACUAGAGCCCUGCUGGAGGAAGACUUUGGUCAGAAGUUUUCCACAGCAGAAGGAAGCAUCCUGUUGAGAAAUCUCAUAUACUUUCAGUGAUGGGCCAAAACUUUGUCAGGAAUCACUGAGCUGUGGAAGGAGUGUUAAAUAGCAUUGUUCUCAAUUUUAAAUUAUAACAUUUGCAAGAGAAAAUCGAUUUCUUAGAAUGAGGAAUUGCGAAGUUCACUUCCUAUGCCGCUCUGACUAUUUGGAGAUAAUAGAAGCUGAUAGAGAAGAAAACCGACAGAACCAAUCAUCCUCCUUUCAUCUGCUGAUGGGAAACACAUUGACAAUGAUAAUUACCAGAAGCCUAU
Long non-coding RNA from Peromyscus eremicus (cactus mouse), 1640 nucleotides. RefSeq lists it as uncharacterized. The record is from RefSeq and is a predicted model, not a curated record. Lineage: Eukaryota; Metazoa; Chordata; Mammalia; Rodentia; Cricetidae. The transcript has 3 exons.